Molecule: ribosomal RNA, 339 nt
Filed under: Nematoda environmental sample
Lineage: Eukaryota; Metazoa; Nematoda
Description: SSU rRNA
Rfam family: Eukaryotic small subunit ribosomal RNA
Source: RNAcentral
GGUGGAGCGAUUUGUCUGGUUAAUUCCGAUAACGAACGAGACUCUAGCCUAUUAAAUAGACUGUAUAUCAUUAGUAUAUCGAGCUUCUUAGAGGGACAGGCAGCUUCUAGCUGCACGAGAUUGAGCAAUAACAGGUCUGUGAUGCCCUUAGAUGUCCGGGGCUGCACGCGCGCUACAAUGAUAAUAGCAAAGUGCAUUAAAACCUUUUCUGGUAAGAAUUGGUAAACACGAAACAUUGUCGUGCUUGGAAUCGGGGAUUGAAAUUAUUGCCCUUAAACGAGGAAUUCCUAGUAAGUGCAGGUCAUCAGCUUGUGCUGAAUACGUCCCUGCCCUUUGUAC